RNAcentral lists this ribosomal RNA (253 nucleotides) under uncultured bacterium. RNAcentral describes it as "partial 16S ribosomal RNA". It matches the Rfam family "Bacterial small subunit ribosomal RNA", at positions 524 to 776 of the family's 1533-position model. The record is from RNAcentral.
GACGUAGGGUGCAAGCGUUGUCCGGAUUUAUUGGGCGUAAAGAGCUCGUAGGCGGCUUGUUGAGUCGGGUGUGAAAACCCGCGGCUUAACCGCGGGCGUGCAGUGGAUACUGGCAGGCUAGAGUUCGGUAGGGGAGACUGGAAUUCCUGGUGUAGCGGUGAAAUGCGCAGAUAUCAGGAGGAACACCAAUAGCGAAGGCAGCUCGCUGGGACGUUACUGACACUGAGGCGCGAAAGCGUGGGGAGCGAACAGG